Pelobates cultripes (western spadefoot toad) is the source of this 233-nucleotide non-coding RNA. The record is from the annotation of a GenBank genome assembly. Lineage: Eukaryota; Metazoa; Chordata; Amphibia; Anura; Pelobatidae.
GGGUGUUUGCAGUAGUGGGGCCAGCGUGGUCAGUGAAUAUUUUGUCCCAAAUAAAACAUGUUUUAAAAAACCAUAAUAUUUUGAACUAGGUCUGUGAUGAAAUGGUGAAAUGGAAAAUCUCAAAAUUCUCUCAGUCACAUAGCCUGGGGGGUAAGAUGUCUACAAAUAUAUACUUUUUGUAGCGGAUGGCACUGGGCUGUCCUGAAAAUUACAUGUGUAUAACUGUAUUCGGG